This 500-nucleotide ribosomal RNA is filed under the name uncultured bacterium. RNAcentral describes it as "partial 16S ribosomal RNA". It matches the Rfam family "Bacterial small subunit ribosomal RNA", at positions 30 to 523 of the family's 1533-position model. The record is from RNAcentral.
AUUGAACGCUGGCGGCAGGCCUAACACAUGCAAGUCGAGCGGAUGACGGGAGCUUGCUCCUUGAUUCAGCGGCGGACGGGUGAGUAAUGCCUAGGGAUCUGCCUGGUAGUGGGGGACAACGUUUCGAAAGGAACGCUAAUACCGCAUACGUCCUACGGGAGAAAGCAGGGGACCUUCGGGCCUUGCGCUAUCAGAUGAGCCUAGGUCGGAUUAGCUAGUUGGUGGGGUAAUGGCUCACCAAGGCGACGAUCCGUAACUGGUCUGAGAGGAUGAUCAGUCACACUGGAAAUGAGACACGGUCCAGACUCCUACGGGAGGCAGAAGUGGGGAAGAUUGGACAAUGGGCGAAAGCCUGAUCCAGCCAUGCCGAGUGUGUGAAGAAGGUCUUCGGAUUGUAAAGCACUUUAAGUUGGGAGGAAGGGCAGUAAGUUAAUACCUUGCUGUUUUGACGUUACCGACAGAAUAAGCACCGGCUAACUCUGUGCCAGCCGCCGCCGUAA